GACGAACGCUGGCGGCGGGCUUAACACAUGCAAGUCGAACGGAAAGGCCCUGCUUGUGUGGGGUGCUCGAGUGGCGAACGGGUGAGUAACACGGGAGUAACCUGCCCUUGACUUGGGGAUAACUUCAGGAAACUGGUGCUAAUACCGGAUAGGAGCUCCUGCUGCAUGGGGGGGGUUGGAAAGUUUCGGCGGAUGGGGAUGGACUCGCGGCUUAUCAGCUUGUGGGGUGGGUAGUGGCUUACCAAGGCUUUGACGGGUAGCCGGCCUGAGAGGGUGACCGGCCACAUUGGGACUGAGAUACGGACCAGACUCCUACGGGAGGCAGCAGUGGGGAAUAUUGCACAAUGGGCGGAAGCCUGAUGCAGCAACGCCGCGUGCGGGAUGACGGCCUUCGGGUUGUAAACCGCUUUCGCCUGUGACGAAGCGUGAGUGACGGUAAUGGGUAAAGAAGCACCGGCUAACUACGUG
Molecule: ribosomal RNA, 468 nt
Filed under: uncultured bacterium
Lineage: Bacteria
Description: partial 16S ribosomal RNA
Rfam family: Bacterial small subunit ribosomal RNA
Source: RNAcentral